This is a non-coding RNA of Podarcis lilfordi (Lilford's wall lizard), 67 nucleotides long. The record is from the annotation of a GenBank genome assembly. Lineage: Eukaryota; Metazoa; Chordata; Lepidosauria; Squamata; Lacertidae.
GACCGUGUGGCCUAAUGGUUAAGGAAUUAGGAUCAGAAGAUUGGGGGUUCAAGACCCUUCAUGGUCA